Molecule: ribosomal RNA, 477 nt
Filed under: Saurida undosquamis (brushtooth lizardfish)
Lineage: Eukaryota; Metazoa; Chordata; Actinopteri; Aulopiformes; Synodontidae
Description: partial small subunit ribosomal RNA
Rfam family: Bacterial small subunit ribosomal RNA
Source: RNAcentral
CAUUAUGCCUAGCCAUAAACUUUGAUAGAAUCUUACAACCUCUAUCCGCCUGGGAACUACGAGCGCUAGCUUAAAACCCAAAGGACUUGGCGGUGCUUCAGACCCCCCUAGAGGAGCCUGUCCUAGAACCGAUGAUCCCCGUUCAACCUCACCACUUCUUGUUUCUUCCGCCUAUAUACCGCCGUCGCCAGCCUACCCUCUAAGGGACCCAAAGUAGGCAAAAUAAGAACUUCUUAAAACGUCAGGUCGAGGUGUAGCGAAUGAAGUGGGAAGAGAUGGGCUACAUUCUCUACCGACCAGAGAACCACGAAAGAGAUUUUGAAACAAACCCCUGAAGGCGGAUUUAGCAGUAAGCACGAAAACAGCGAGUUCAGCUGAAACCGGCUCUGAAGCGCGUACACACCGCCCGUCACUCUCCCCGAAUACCCUAUUCGCCCUACCUAAAAAAUUUUAACUUCAAGGGGAGGCAAGUCGUAA